Molecule: ribosomal RNA, 465 nt
Filed under: uncultured bacterium
Lineage: Bacteria
Description: partial 16S ribosomal RNA
Rfam family: Bacterial small subunit ribosomal RNA
Source: RNAcentral
CCUACGGGAGGCAGCAGUGGGGAAUAUUGCGCAAUGGGCGAAAGCCUGACGCAGCGACGCCGCGUGAGGGAUGAAGGUCUUCGGAUCGUAAACCUCUGUCAGCAGGGAAGAACGGUCACUGUGCUAAUCAGCAGUGAAUUGACGGUACCUGCAAAGGAAGCACCGGCUAACUCCGUGCCAGCAGCCGCGGUAAUACGGAGGGUGCGAGCGUUAAUCGGAAUUACUGGGCGUAAAGCGCUCGUAGGCGGUAUGUCAAGUCAAGGGUGAAAUCCCCGCGCUCAACGGGGGAACUGCCUUUGAAACUGGCAGACUGGAGUGUGUGAGAGGAUAGUGGAAUUCGAGGUGUAGGAGUGAAAUCCGUAGAUAUCUGGAGGAACAUCAGUGGCGAAGGCGACUAUCUGGCACAUAACUGACGCUGAGGAGCGAAAGCGUGGGUAGCAAACAGGAUUAGAUACCCGGGUAGUC